AUCAUUUAACUUGCGGCGUAGUAAUAUAUUAUUCAUCGAUUGAACACUCAAAUGUAUCGAAUACUUAGAGCUCUCGCGACUGUAUCUUUCGAGAUUUCUUCGAUUGCUGAUGCUACAUCAUAUCCAAUUAAGAACCGUUAAAAUUAGAAUGCCAGAUAAUGAAAAAUGCACUAUAAAUCUGGAAGAACGAGUUCCCAUUUUACAACCAAAUGAAAAACUCUUAAAGAGAUUGGAUAUUUUAGCUGAUCAUUUUCAAUCAGCAUACAAUAUCAAACCUUUGUUUUUUGUAAGAGUUCCGGGAAGAGUUAAUUUAAUUGGUGAGCACAUCGAUUAUUGCGGAUAUGCUGUUUGUCCAAUGGCUAUUGAACAAGAUAUACUUAUUGCUGUAGCACUUUCAAACGACAACGUCAUUCAUCUUACUAAUUUAGAUUCAAAAUACAAAAAUUUUCACUGCAAUUUCAAAGAUAUUAGUGUUUGUAUCGGAGACGUCGACAGUGGUCCAGACUGGUACAAAUAUUUUCUCUGCGGCGUGAAAGGAGCUCUUGAAGUGAUCCCAGAGGAAUGUGUACCUUCGGGAAUUUUAGCUGCAGUUUGGGGUAACAUUCCUCCUAAUUCAGGACUCUCGAGUUCUAGCGCGUUAGUUUCCGCCGCUGUCCUUUUGAUCGUGCACGCUAGUCAGCAUCAAUUAUCGAAACGUGAAUUAGCUACCAUCAGUGCCAACGCUGAAAGAUAUAUUGGUACCCAAGGUGGUGGAAUGGAUCAAGCAAUCGCGUUCUUUGGAAAAGCAGGUUCUGCAAUGCUAAUCGAAUUCAACCCCUUGCGUGGUACUGAUGUCAUGUUACCGGAAAGCGCAGUAUUCGUAAUAGCACACAGCCAAGCUUGUCAUAACAAAGCUUCCACGACAGAUUAUAAUUUAAGAGUUGCAGAAUGUCGCUUAGCUGCACAGAUGAUAGCAAAGAAAAGAAACAAACCUUGGGAACAUGUACAAAGACUAAUCGAUAUUCAAGAGAGUCUUAAUAUGAGCUUAAACGAAAUGGUUUCAGUUAUAACAACCGACCUUCACGAAGAACCAUAUACCUUGAGCGAGAUUAGCAAGAACCUUGAUACAACGAAUGAGAAACUUCGUGAAAUAUCAUUAUUACAAACUUUUAGCAAUGCACAAAUUUUCAAAUUGAAACAACGUGCUCUCCAUGUGUAUCAAGAGGCGGCUCGAGUGCUCGAAUUCCAGCAUAUUAGUGAGAAAAAUGCAAUUGUGGAAGAGGAGAAGCUAAAACAAUUAGGCAAUCUGAUGUCUAACAGCCAUUUCAGUAUGCACAAACUAUACGAGUGCAGUCAUCCCAGUGUCAAUUCACUCGUUGACAAAGCUAUGGCUUGUGGUGCACUCGGUGCAAGGCUCACGGGAGCUGGAUGGGGUGGCUGCAUAGUGGCCAUCAUAACGAAAGACAAGGUUUCUCAAUUUGUGGAUACACUGAAAAAGGAACUCGGUCUAUGUGGGAUAAAAGAUGGAUUCAAACUCGACGAUCUGGUUUUUCCAACGGAACCGAACCAGGGUGCUGCAAUUUAUAUGAUCUAGUUUUCAUUCUCCAUCUGUUUCCUGUCUUCUUGCAUUUUAUAAAUUCGAGCAAUUGAUUUAUCAAAAGUUCCUUAUAAUGAAAUGCAUUUGGAGUGAUAACGUAAGAAAAGAUAUGAAUGAGAGAGAAAAUUAAGAAUUUGAUAGCCUGUAAAAGCUUCUCUAUUUUUAAGAACUGGUCUUGCUAAUUGAAAGAUUAGAUAAUCACUAACAAUCAACAUUGAAAUUACAUAGUAAAUGGUAAAUCUACGUCAGCAGUGUCUGGAACAUUAUCAAAGUUUAUUUCGAAGGGAUAAAGGGAAGGAUAAAUGGAAUUUAUCAGCGAAAAUUUCCAUUCGACCUAGAUCCGUUUAAGGGAUUUCUUAUGUAUGUGAUUUUGAGGAUUCUAUCAUUGACAUGGAAAUAAUAAGAAAAGAGCAUUGAGCGAAGAAAUCAUGCGUAAAUAAUUGCGAAUUCGUAAAAAAUUUCUUCAUGGCACAUGGUUUAUUUUAAAAAUAAAAAAUAUCUUAUUAACAUGAUUUAUUAAACUUAAAAAUUUAUAAAAUCAAUUUAAAAAUAUUCUUCAUUAAAUAAUAUUUAAAUUUUUCGUGGAAUAUUUAAUAACUUAUAAAAUGAUUUUUUUUUCCUAGAUGGAAUAAUUUUGAAGAUAUUUAAGAAUAUAAAAAGGACAAAAUUGAAAAAAUAUAUAUUGCCAUAAGAACAUUUUUCAUGGGUUAGGUCAGCGUACUCGACAGUCUAAGAUCCGACAUUGAUAUUGAUUUUCUACUACCAGUCUAUGCUAAUAAAUUUCUCGAUAAGAGAAAGAACAAUCAGCCACCGAAAAACUCGUUUCACCUUUGGAAUCGGUUGACUGCUUCAUUGAUUUAAUCUGCUACCAUAUCGAAUGAAGGAUCAAGUUUAAUUUAAGAUUGAUUUAUGUUUUUUUCUUUUGCAAAAUUCUAGGAUAUUAUUUAAUUUUUAAUUUAUUUUAUUUAACUUUUUACAUUCACCUUUAUUAAUUUUUAAUUUAAUAUAAGGAUAUGUCUCAAACAUAAUUCAGAAUUUAUAAUUUUAGAGAGUCAAAUUAUAUUUAACUUUCAACUUAUCAAAUUCUCUUCAUUACUUUAAUAUGUUGCUUUUGCAAUCAAACGUGAAAUAACUCAUGAAUUUCAUAUUAAACAGCAACGUAUUAUCGUAAAAUAUUUCAGAUAACUAGCUUAAAUUUUAAUGUAUAUAUAUAUAAUGCAACAACAUUUUUACGAACAUAAAAAAUCCAGAUGGUCCAGAUUUCAAAGAUCCAAGAUAUAAUUUUAAAACUUUGUUAUACAAAAUCUAUUUUUAUUGUAAGCUGAUUUAUCACACUCUUUUAAUUCUGUUUUAAUAUAAAUUUAAUAAGAAAUUUCUCCGCUAUUAUUUCAAUUUCCAUUGUUAAAUACAUUUAAUUUUCUUGCCGGUAGUAUAUUCUCCGUAGAACAAAAUGAAAUUUGUUUCAGUUUGACAUCGUUUUGAAAUAAGGCAAUGACGAUACACUUUGUUCUGGGAUCUAGAACUUCCUGGUGGACGAACAUCAGCUUAGGCAAGGAAAUUUCUCAAGUUCUGUAAACUGUGGUGAACCAUGUGAAACAAGUUACGUAUUAACAGAGAGGGUUUGGUAAAAUUGAUAAGUCGAG
This is an RNA transcript of Apis cerana (Asiatic honeybee), 3219 nucleotides long. It is a transcript of the gene named N-acetylgalactosamine kinase, with no coding region annotated. NCBI's taxonomy places the organism in Eukaryota, Metazoa, Arthropoda, Insecta, Hymenoptera, Apidae. The record is from RefSeq and is a predicted model, not a curated record.